RNAcentral lists this ribosomal RNA (522 nucleotides) under uncultured Hanseniaspora. Its description in RNAcentral is "eukaryotic LSU rRNA". It matches the Rfam family "Eukaryotic large subunit ribosomal RNA", at positions 62 to 568 of the family's 3401-position model. Lineage: Eukaryota; Fungi; Ascomycota; Saccharomycetes; Saccharomycodales; Saccharomycodaceae. The record is from RNAcentral.
AAACCAACUGGGAUUACCUUAGUAACGGCGAGUGAAGCGGUAAAAGCUCAAAUUUGAAAUCUGGUACUUUCAGUGCCCGAGUUGUAAUUUGUAGAAUUUGUCUUUGAUUAGGUCCUUGUCUAUGUUCCUUGGAACAGGACGUCAUAGAGGGUGAGAAUCCCGUUUGGCGAGGAUACCUUUUCUCUGUAAGACUUUUUCGAAGAGUCGAGUUGUUUGGGAAUGCAGCUCAAAGUGGGUGGUAAAUUCCAUCUAAAGCUAAAUAUUGGCGAGAGACCGAUAGCGAACAAGUACAGUGAUGGAAAGAUGAAAAGAACUUUGAAAAGAGAGUGAAAAAGUACGUGAAAUUGUUGAAAGGGAAGGGCAUUUGAUCUGGAAAUUACACUGGGCCAACAUCAGUUCUGGCGGCAGGAUAAAUCAUUAAGAAUGUAGCUACCUCGGUAGUGUUAUAGCUUUUGGAAUACUGCCAGCUGGGAUUGAGGACUGCGCUUCGGCAAGGAUGUUGGCAUAAUGGUUAAAUGCCCG